GCCCGGUUAGCAUAAAAGUAAUGCACCCGUUUUGUAAUCGGAAGAAGUAAGUGCGAUACUUGCACUGGGCU
This 71-nucleotide transfer RNA is filed under the name Ricasolia amplissima. RNAcentral's name for it is "tRNA-Thr". It matches the Rfam family "tRNA". From Rfam's summary of the family: Transfer RNA (tRNA) molecules are approximately 80 nucleotides in length. Their secondary structure includes four short double-helical elements and three loops (D, anti-codon, and T loops). Further hydrogen bonds mediate the characteristic L-shaped molecular structure. tRNAs have two regions of fundamental functional importance: the anti-codon, which is responsible for specific mRNA codon recognition, and the 3' end, to which the tRNAs corresponding amino acid is attached (by aminoacyl-tRNA synthetases). tRNAs cope with the degeneracy of the genetic code in two manners: having more than one tRNA (with a specific anti-codon) for a particular amino acid; and 'wobble' base-pairing, i.e. permitting non-standard base-pairing at the 3rd anti-codon position. Lineage: Eukaryota; Fungi; Ascomycota; Lecanoromycetes; Peltigerales; Lobariaceae. The record is from RNAcentral.